AUCCUACUCCCUCCAUUCCGAAUUACUAGUCCAAGAAAUGAAUGUAUCUAGAUUUAUUUUAGUUGUAGAUACAUCCAUUUUUGUGACAAGUAAUUCCGAACGGAGGGAGUACAUA
This is a non-coding RNA of Triticum aestivum (bread wheat), 115 nucleotides long. The record is from Rfam. NCBI's taxonomy places the organism in Eukaryota, Viridiplantae, Streptophyta, Magnoliopsida, Poales, Poaceae.